This 253-nucleotide ribosomal RNA is filed under the name uncultured bacterium. RNAcentral's name for it is "partial 16S ribosomal RNA". It matches the Rfam family "Bacterial small subunit ribosomal RNA", at positions 524 to 776 of the family's 1533-position model. The record is from RNAcentral.
UACGGGGGGGGCAAGCGUUGUUCGGAAUUCCUGGGCGUAAAGGGCUCGUAGGCGGCCAACUAAGUCAGACGUGAAAUCCCCAGGCUCAACCUGGGAACUGCGUCUGAUACUGGAUGGCUUGAAUCCGGGAGAGGGAUGCAGAAUUCCAGGUGUAGCGGUGAAAUGCGUAGAUAUCUGGAGGAAUACCGGUGGCGAAGGCGGCAUCCUGGACCGGCAUUGACGCUGAGGAGCGAAAGCCAGGGGAGCAAACGGG